Molecule: ribosomal RNA, 253 nt
Filed under: uncultured bacterium
Lineage: Bacteria
Description: partial 16S ribosomal RNA
Rfam family: Bacterial small subunit ribosomal RNA
Source: RNAcentral
UACGUAGGUGGCAAGCGUUGUUCGGAAUUAUUGGGCGUAAAGGGCGCGUAGGCGGUUUGUUAAGUCGGUCGUGAAAGCCCGGGGCUCAACCCCGGAGGGUCGACCGAUACUGGCAGACUAGAGUACAGAAGAGGUAACUGGAAUUCCCGGUGUAGCGGUGAAAUGCGUAGAUAUUGGGAGGAACACCAGUGGCGAAGGCGGCUCACUGGACCGGAACUGACGCUGAGGCGCGAAAGCGUGGGGAGCAAACAGG